AUGCUCAUUUAGGCAGUACAUAUACUAAAAUUGGAACAAUACAGAGAAGAUCAGCAUGGCCCCUAACUAAGAAUGGCAUGCAAAUUUGUGAAGUGCACUAUAUUUUU
Small nuclear RNA from Sorex araneus (European shrew), 107 nucleotides. NCBI's taxonomy places the organism in Eukaryota, Metazoa, Chordata, Mammalia, Eulipotyphla, Soricidae. The record is from RefSeq and is a predicted model, not a curated record.